Molecule: ribosomal RNA, 186 nt
Filed under: uncultured bacterium
Lineage: Bacteria
Description: partial 16S ribosomal RNA
Rfam family: Bacterial small subunit ribosomal RNA
Source: RNAcentral
AGAUACAGCCUACGGGAGACAGCAGUAGGGAAUUUUCGUCAAUGGGGGCAACCCUGAACGAGCAAUGCCGCGUGAGCGAAGAAGGUCUUCGGAUUGUAAAGCUCUGUUGCCGGGGAAAAGGAAGGAAAGAGGAAAUGCUUUUCUUUGGAUGGUACCCGGCCAGAAAGUCACGGCUAACUACGUGCC